RNAcentral lists this ribosomal RNA (483 nucleotides) under uncultured Marmoricola sp. Its description in RNAcentral is "partial 16S ribosomal RNA". Lineage: Bacteria; Bacillati; Actinomycetota; Actinomycetes; Propionibacteriales; Nocardioidaceae. The record is from RNAcentral.
CACGUAGUUGGCCGGUGCUUCUUCUGCAGGUACCGUCACUUUCGCUUCGUCCCUGCUGAAAGAGGUUUACAACCCGAAGGCCGUCAUCCCUCACGCGGCGUUGCUGGAUCAGGCCUUCGCCCAUUGUCCAAUAUUCCCCACUGCUGCCUCCCGUAGGAGUCUGGGCCGUGUCUCAGUCCCAGUGUGGCCGGUCACCCUCUCAGGCCGGCUACCCGUCGAAGCCUUGGUGGGCCAUUACCCCACAACAAGCUGAUAGGCCGCGAGCUCAUCCAUCACCGCCGGAACUUUCCACCACCGUCAGAUGCCUGAAGUGGUCAUAUUCGGUAUUAGCACCGGUUUCCCGGAGUUAUCCCGAUGUGAUGGGCAGAUUGCUCACGUGUUACUCACCCGUUCGCCGCUCGUCGUACCCGAGGGCCUUACCGCUCGACUUGCAUGUGUUAAGCAGCCGCCAGCCGUCGUCCUGAGCCGAGAGUACAAACGUCU